This 253-nucleotide ribosomal RNA is filed under the name uncultured bacterium. Its description in RNAcentral is "partial 16S ribosomal RNA". It matches the Rfam family "Bacterial small subunit ribosomal RNA", at positions 524 to 776 of the family's 1533-position model. The record is from RNAcentral.
UACGUAGGCAGCGAGCGUUGUCCGGAGUUACUGGGCGUAAAGCGUGCGUAGGCGGUGUCUUAAGUUUGUUGUGAAAUCUCCCGGCUUAACCGGGAGGGUGCGGCGAAUACUGAGAUGCUGGAGUGCGGGAGAGGUAAGCGGAAUUCCUGGUAUAGCGGUGGAAUGCGCAGAUAUCAGGAGGAACACCGGUGGCGAAGGCGGGUCUCUGGGCAGUAACUGACGCUGAGGAGCGAAAGCGUGGGGAGCGAACAGG